RNAcentral lists this ribosomal RNA (235 nucleotides) under uncultured bacterium. RNAcentral's name for it is "partial 16S ribosomal RNA". It matches the Rfam family "Bacterial small subunit ribosomal RNA", at positions 99 to 334 of the family's 1533-position model. The record is from RNAcentral.
CGCACGGGUGCGUAACACGUAUGUAACCUACCUUUGUCAGGGGGAUAGCCUCUCGAAAGAGAGAUUAAGACCGCAUAACAUUACGGAACAGCAUUGUUUUGUAAUCAAAUAUUUAUAGGACAAAGAUGGGCAUGCGGGACAUUAGCUAGUUGGCGGGGUAACGGCCCACCAAGGCGACGAUGGCUAGGGGAGCUGAGAGGCUGGUCCCCCACACGGGCACUGAGAUACGGGCCCG